This 631-nucleotide long non-coding RNA is filed under the name Pan troglodytes (chimpanzee). RNAcentral's name for it is "long non-coding RNA NONPTRT008029". The record is from RNAcentral. Lineage: Eukaryota; Metazoa; Chordata; Mammalia; Primates; Hominidae.
UGGAGACGACGCAAUGCUCUGGGAAGAACCCUGGGUGCGGGUGAGAGAGGAAUCCGAGCUGCACAAGGCCAAUGAGGGGAGGACAACCCGCCCGAUUUAGACAAAGGCAAGGUAAGAAGAACUACAGAGGAAGAACCUACUGCAGAUGUUUCCCAGGAGACUUUAAUUGAAGUAUCAGCAAAACUGAAAGGUAACGAGAGAAUCUUGUGCCUCUGAGGGUGUCUUUCCCAUGGAUCCCUGCUCAGUUGCCUUUCACGGGCCCCCUGAUUUGCGUGAACUCCUGACCUCAGAUGAUCCACCUGCCUUGGCCCUCCAAAGUGCUGGAAUUAUAGGCAUGAGCCACCGUGCCUGGCCUGUUCCAUGCAUUAAAAAAAAAUUAAAAAAUUAAAAAAAAUCAGUGAGAACAAGAAGAAAUGUAAAUGCUGGGCUUUUCAUAUAAAUCCAGGGAAUUAUGGGACAGUUAGUACCCACCUCCCAGGGUAUUAUGAGGAUAAAUUCAUGUCAUCUUCCCACCACAGUGCUCUGUAGCGUGCUUCUGAGCACACAGAGCAUGCUCCAUAAACAUUGCAUUAACGCAUGUGUGCAUGUUGUUUUCCAAAUGCAGACUUACUCAGACAUGAGCUGCCUUCUC